RNAcentral lists this ribosomal RNA (482 nucleotides) under uncultured bacterium. RNAcentral's name for it is "partial 16S ribosomal RNA". It matches the Rfam family "Bacterial small subunit ribosomal RNA", at positions 28 to 523 of the family's 1533-position model. The record is from RNAcentral.
GACGAACGCUGGCGGCGUGCUUAACACAUGCAAGUCGAACGAUGAAACCUAGCUUGCUAGGUCGAUUAGUGGCGAACGGGUGAGUAACACGUGACUAACCUGCCCCUUGCUCUGGGAUAACGCUCCGAAAGGAGUGCUAAUACCGGAUACUCACAUCGAGGCACAUGCCUUGGUGUGGAAAGUUUUUCGGAAAGGGAUGGAGUCGCGGCCUAUCAGCUUGUUGGUGAGGUAACGGCUCACCAAGGCGACGACGGGUAGCCGGCCUGAGAGGGCGACGUGCCACACUGGGACUGGGACACGGCCCAGACUGCUACGGGAGGCAGCAGUGGGGAGGAAUGCACAAUGGGCGCAAGCCUGAUGCAGCGACGCCGCGUGAGGGGGGAAGGUCUUCGGAUUGUAAACCUCUUUCAGUAGGGACGAAGCGAAAGUGACGGUACCUAAAGAAGAAGCACCGGCUAACUACGUGCCAGCAGCCGCGGUAA